GAAAAUCAAUACUUCAUUUAUUUUUAUCAGUAAAAGCUUCAACACAUCAGCAUAAAGGAAUCUUAGUGUAAUUCAGAAGCUGAUCCCAUGGGUUUAAAACCAACACAUCUGCUCUCUGACAUUUUGACAUGUAAUAUUGCCUACAAGAAGUGCAAAUCUCACUUCAUUGAUUUUGUCACAGGUUGUUAAAAAUAAUGUAUAAGCUAUGAAAUGUGGAUUUUACUGUUCUUUCAGCAUUAAUAAUUCAAAGCCAAUCAUGAUAGUAUUAAUGCAGCUUCUUCUAGGUUAGUCCCCUGGUCUUUUGCCCUUUAAGGAUUAUUGUAUUCACAGAAUUGUUAGGCCCAAUCAAGACUGGAUUAACCAUAGUGCAAUUGACUAGAAUGCUCCAGAGAAAUCAAUGCCUAGGAGCUUGAUGUGGCUACUGACACCAUGUAUAUACACAUGCUACUUUACUACAUAUGUCUGAUAAAGUGCAAUUAUGACAGGGACAAGCACUGUUGGGUGGGACACAUCACAUGAUGUUGUGUCCUGACUGUAUUUGAUUUGAAUUUCUCUUUUCAUUGAUGGGAAAACCUCUUAAAUGAAUUAAAUAUCACUGUUCUUUUGCCACAAUUUCUUGUGUAAUAGUUUCCUUACACAACAGUCCCAAUAAUGCAAAGCAAGUGAAGAUCUCACAAAAACACCAAAAUUGCAUGACUACGGAGUUACAGCAACAUAGAACACAAUAUGGCUGUUCUGAGUAGGAUGUACAUGGAUAGGACAUGAGGCUGUGUGGAAGGGCUAUUGUGGGAAUUUGCAUCACCAAAGCACCAAUAUAGAAAAAUGUCAUCAGGGUGUGAAAGGGAUCAUUUCAAUAACAAUAUGUUUCCAUUUGCUUAAACUAUGUGAUUGCUGCAAGACAAGAACCUGGUGUGAUAAUGUCAAUAGUAUUUUAUCUUCUCUUGGAACAAGUUAUUCAAACCCUGGUGGCUCUCUGAAAUUUUUAUUAAAGUGUGACAACCACCUUUAUUUAUAAUGGCAGUGAAUCUGUGUUAUGUAAUUUUAUACAUACUACUUAGCAACACAGCAGAUGUAGAAAGAAUUCUUCUAACACAGUAGUUCUCAACCUGUAGGUCCCCAGGUGUUUUGGCCUAUAACUCCCAGGAACCCCAGCCAGUUUACCAGCUGUUAGCAUUUCUGGGAGGGGGAGGGAAGGUAAGCAGGCACACUGAGUUGUGACCCAAGUGGCUGCAGCAAGUGGCAAAGUUCCAGGAUCUCGAUCGUGACAUCCCGCUGGGUCACAGGUUGCCUGUGGGCCAUGUCGGUGGGCUGCUUGGCAUUGAAGGGGUGGGUGAUGCAGGCAUAGAUCUGGAGCUAGAGCUGCUCUUCCCUCUCCUCCUUCUACAGCUGUCCCUCCUCCUCCUGGCCAUCACUCUGCACUAAGGGGCUGGGGCUGGCCAGCUGCACUGUGGACAAGGAAGACCAAGGGGCUGGUCAACCAUGCCACUCCCAAUGCCGCCACUGGCACCGCCUCUUCU
Molecule: long non-coding RNA, 1517 nt
Filed under: Anolis carolinensis (green anole)
Lineage: Eukaryota; Metazoa; Chordata; Lepidosauria; Squamata; Anolidae
Description: lncRNA (ENSACAG00000044897.1)
Source: RNAcentral